Molecule: RNA transcript, 4249 nt
Organism: Pecten maximus
Lineage: Eukaryota; Metazoa; Mollusca; Bivalvia; Pectinida; Pectinidae
Gene name: helicase with zinc finger domain 2-like
Exons: 6
Source: RefSeq, a predicted model, not a curated record
CAAGGACAAAACUAGGUGAGUUGGCACCAAGAAUGAUUAGAAUGUACGGGGCGUCGCAUGAAGGUAUGGACUACCCCAUCCCAGGAAAGCUCUCUUCCAAGUCGAGAAGGGCAGGAAACAGACCAGACGAAGUUCUGCGUGACAUCGCCUUACAUCAUUUGAUUAGAAGACCGGGAAAACCACAUGCCGAUAAAAUAAGAGAAUACGACAAGUACUUUCACCAAGUCCGCGAUCUUUCGACAAUCAUACAUCCAGAUCAAGCUAAAGAGUUUAAAACUAAACUCAAAAAGUACAACGCACUUCUCACCAAAGCUGAACAGGAAGAAUUACAGAACUAUGACGUCAUUUUCUGCACAACAACUAUGACUACAAAUACAAAGUUCAUUCGUUCCACCAAAAACAGAAUAUUUCAGUGUAUCAUUGACGAGAGCGGAAUGUGCACAGAACCAGAGACUCUAGCUACCAUAAUCGCCACCAGAGCGGAACAAGUGGUUCUGAUUGGAGACCAUAAACAGCUCAGACCCGUAGUCAUGUGUCAACAUGCUGCAAGACUUGGUCUAGAAAAAUCCCUCUUUGAGCGAAGGUCGAAAGCGGCAAUCCUCCUUUCAACACAAUAUCGAAUGAACCCACGGUUAUGCGACUUCAUUUCUGCCCAGUUUUAUCAUAAUCAACUUCAGACUGCACCCUCAACGGCAUGGAUGGAGCAAAAUCCUCUAGGUCUGUGGAAGUAUCGGGAAACUCCGCACAUUCUGUGUCACGUGGAGGGAGGAGAGGAAUAUCUUACGGUAUCAACAUACGAGGGGAAUGAACAAUCUUGUAGCAACAAAGCGGAAGUGGAAAAAGUGGUUGAUGUUUUCAAACGGAUAGUAUCCGUAGAGGGAGUGAAUCCGCGGUACAUCAAUGUUAUGUCGCAGUACAACGCCCAGUGUCACGCCAUCAAGACGGCUUUAUUGGCGUCAGGCUACAUCAACAGUAACGUCCACACAGUCGUCGCCAGUCAGGGCGGAGAAUGGGACUACGUCAUUUUCAGCACCGUUAGAUCUUUACCGGACUACAGAAUUGAACCCAAUCCAACAAUUGGUUGGUGUAAACAGAACCUUGGAUUCAUUACUGACGAGCACCAGAUAAACGUCGCACUUUCUAGGGCUCGUAAAGGUCUCGUUAUCAUAGGAAAUACAAAUCUGUUGAAGUGUGAUGAUGUUUGGAAAAAUCUGAUUGACCUUUACACGAAGAGGGAAUGUGUGGUAGACGGUAAGGAUUUCCCACCACGCAUAACGCGUCCUAGGAGAGUAAGGAACAGGGCUAAAGAAUCACAUGUGACAUAUAGAGAGUUCUACAAAGGCACAGACAUGGAGGUGAGAGGGAGUGACAAAAACAUGGUGGAUGAUACCAAGACAGUUUAGUGGGAGAUAUGGGAAUGACUACGGAUAUUACUGAACACUGUCGGUAUAAAAUUGUGUAUGCACUUGAACCACCGAUAAAGCGUGGUAGUUUAUAACUAUAGUGAUAUACAGGUUUACGUUCCUCACCUACAUAUUUCGUACUAUGUCCGAAAGUAUUUGAUGCCGGUUUAAGUUUUCUCUACUUUUUUCAAUUGGUUUUUAUGGAAUUUGUAUAUAGCGUAUAAGUGAAUGUCUGGAAAAUAUUCUGGAUAUAUAAUCUGCCUGCAUACGUACAUAUUGAUAAGUUGAGCUACAGGAUUGGUACAAUUCAGUGCAUAAAAUUAAUUUUACUUUUAAGGUGACUAUUGUUUUAUGAUGUUUUUAGUGUAAAUCACGUUUAUCUGACGGUGCAAUACUGAUUAAUCAUGUUAAUUGCGGUGAUUCAUUAUUGUUUUAUUCCUUUGCAUACUAUAAACGUGUUUUACAGCAAUUUCAAAUGUUGAUGACAUUCUUCUUGUUAAUGUGUUAUGUAUUGUACUGUUACUUACUUUUAAAUAUUGAUUGUACAUAGUUUAUAUAAGCAGUUAUUUUAAUAAUUUGCUGCAUAUGCAUGUACAUAGAUAUUAAGCUGUUAAGUCAAAUUCACUUUCUGAAAUAUAUUUUUUUACAUAUAUACUGUAAAUGCUUUACACAAAAAGUGACUUUUGACUCACCGAUACCGAAUGCUUUUCCUUAUAUAAAACAACAUUUAUAUCAACAAUCUGCAGUCGUUAGGAACUGAUUGAGAGAAUGAAGAGAGGAUAGUCUGAGUGUAUACUAAGGAGAACCUAUUUAAUGUAUUUAUAAGAGCAAGUGAACAAACACAAUGGAAACCUCUUGUUAUAUUGGUCUAUUAAUAGAUCAAAUAUAUUUAAAGUCAAUGGUGUUGCACCCAGAAUAUAGCUUCUUUUUUAGAUCACGUUUGGGAUCCAGGGGAUAUAACGUUAUACUUUGUUAUAUAAUUGUGGUCUCUACAAUAUGUCAUGAUAAAAGUUAGAGGAAGAAAAUCAAGUAUUUUAGUUAAACUGAACAGUUAUUUCCGAAAAAGCUGAGCAGCUAGUGACUAGUCUUUACAGCAACAUGAAUUUUGUUAAUUUUGGACAUAACCUGUCAUUUAUGAGCUUUCAAUUCAUACUCUAAAAAGUUAGAUUAUAUCACUCGUGAUUGUGAAAGAAAACAUCUAUCGUAUUAGUACUUUGAACUACUUUGAAGUAUAUUUUACAUUAGAGUCACAUCGACAGCUAGUCAUCUACAUCAUAUCAAUACAAUCGGCAACAAAACAGAGAAAAAAUAAAAUAGAAAUAGAAAAGUCUCGCUUUCACUGAACGAUACGGUUCAUCCUUGAAAGGUGACAGGCAAUGUAAUCUUUGGUAAAAGUGUCUUAUUUUUCACUUUUUUUUUUAAAAUUUUAUAUGUAUUUUCAAAACACCAAUCACAAUUGUUAAUUCCACAAAAAAUCCCUUAUUAUAGAUACAAUUUAUAUUUGAAUUCCACUUUAUAUAAACGCUACAAUAAUGAAGAAAUCAAACAUCGAUUUUAAUAGAUCAUCAAGUGGUAUCAAUUGCAUAACAGAUAUUAAUUACUUUUAAAAAGUUUUGCAUCUUUUAAGUCACAUAUGAAAUGGUUGAUACAUCUACCACGACAGUUUUUUGUAUUUUACUCUAACUCACAUAUACAUAUGGUUGAUACAUCCAACACAACUUGUGUUAAUAUUGUAAAGUAAAUUACAUUUAAAUGUUGUUGGUACAUCUACAACGACACGUUGUUACAUUGUAAAGUAAAUCACAUUUAAAUGUUGUUGGUACAUUUACAACGACACGUUGUUACAUUGUAAAGUAAAUCACAUUUUUAUCUAGAUGAUACAUCUACCACGACACGUUUUUAUAUUGCAGAUAUAUCUACAAGGACACGUGUUGAUAUUGUUGAUAUAUCUACCACGACACGUGUUUAUAUUGUUGAUAUAUCUACAAGGACACGUGUUUAUAUUGCAGAUAUAUCUACAAGGACACGUGUUUAUAUUGCUGAUAUAUCUACCACGACACGUGUUUAUAUUUGUGAUAUAUUUACCACGACACGUGUUUAUAUUACAGAUAUAUGUACCAUGACAUGUUCAUAUUAUUGAUAUAUCUACCAUAACACGUGCUUAUAUUGUUGAUAUAUCUACCACGACACGUGUUUAUAUUGCUGAUAUAUCUACCACGACACGUGUUUAUAUUGUUGAUAUAUCUACAAUGACACGUGUUUAUAUUAUUGAUAUAUCUACCACUACACGUGUUUAUAUUACUGACAUAUCUACAAUGACACGUGUUUAUAUUUGUGAUAUAUCAACCACGACACGUGUUUAUAUUAAUGACAUAUCUACCACGACACGUGUUUAUAUUGUUGAUAUAUCUAUCACGACACGUGUUUAUAUUGUUGAUAUAUCUACCACGACACGUGUUUAUAUUGUUGAUAUAUCUACCACGACACGUGUUUAUAUUGCUGAUAUAUCUACCACGACACGUGUUUAUAUUGCUGAUAUAUCUACCACUGACACGUGUUUAUUUCUGUGAUAUAUUUGCUUCGACACGUGUUUACAUUGAUGAUAUAUCUACCACGACACGUGUUUAUAUUGGUGAAAUAUCUAUCACGACACAUGUUUAUACUAGUUAUACAUAUAUCAAGACACGUGUUUAUAUUUUACUGUUAAUCCCUAUCAAAUCCUGGUGACACAACUUCAACACAUGUAUUUUACUGUAGUCAAUCUCUUUUAAAUACUGAUGCUUUAAGGUGUUAACCUGUGCUUGUAAUUUUUGUAUUUUAAUAAAACGGUCAUUCUAUGCCUUUCA